RNAcentral lists this ribosomal RNA (459 nucleotides) under uncultured bacterium. RNAcentral describes it as "partial 16S ribosomal RNA". It matches the Rfam family "Bacterial small subunit ribosomal RNA", at positions 338 to 795 of the family's 1533-position model. The record is from RNAcentral.
CCUACGGGUGGCAGCAGUGAGGAAUAUUGGGCAAUGGGCGGAAGCCUGAACCAGCCAAGUCGCGUGAGGGAUUAAGGCCCUAUGGGUCUUAAACCUCUUUUGUCAGGGAGCAAUGGCGUCCACAUGUGUUCGUAUGGCGAGUACCUGAAGAAAAAGCAUCGGCUAACUGAGUGCCAGCAGCCGGGGUAAUACGGGGGAUGCGAGCGUUAUCCGGAUUUAGUGGGGUUAAAGGGUGCAUAGGCGGGACCUUAAGUCAGAGGUAAUACUGCGGUGCUCAACGCCGUAUAGCCGUUGAAACUGGGGUUCUUGAGUGAGCGAGAAGUAUGCGGAAUGCGUGGUGUAGCGGUGAAAUGCAUAGAUAUCACGCAGAAACCAGAUUGCGAAGGGAGCAUACCGGCGCUCAACUGACGUUGAGGCACGAAGUGUGGGUAUCGAACAGGAUUAGAUACCCCAGUAGUC